Xiphophorus hellerii (green swordtail) is the source of this 1061-nucleotide long non-coding RNA. RefSeq lists it as uncharacterized. NCBI's taxonomy places the organism in Eukaryota, Metazoa, Chordata, Actinopteri, Cyprinodontiformes, Poeciliidae. The transcript has 2 exons. The record is from RefSeq and is a predicted model, not a curated record.
GCAUAAAGACCUGAGAGAAAUAAAGCAAUCUUGUGAUUUGAUUAAAAUAAUAAUUAAGUUGAAUAUGUAUGAAUACAAUUGGUAUAAAUGUGUAUAAGUAAUCACUAAAUAACUUUCUGAAAUGUAUUUCUGAAUAAUGAUCAGUAAUGGUAACAACAAUGUAAUGAUUAUAUUUGAUGAUUUAUAGUAAGUGAAAGAUGUGAUUAAUUUUUAAUGAAUAUCAAAGCUGUGAUUUGAAAUCGAUUCAAAUGGUUUUAAUACAGUGAGUUAUAGAAAAGAGAGGAAGUUAUAACGUUAAAGUCAGCAUGAUGGGUGAGGUCCGGCUGUCAGGAUAUGUCGCAAGUUGGGGAAAGAUGGGACUUUCCACAAGACUCAGCAAACAGGUUGGGGACCGUCGGGGCUUUCCACGAGACUCAGCAGAUGGUCAGAAAGUCACGUAGACCAAGCUCCCCAUACACACACAUGGGUGGAAAAAGUAUAAAAGAGGACUGAAAAGAGGAAGCAACUGUUCUUAGUCCGCGGCGCUGGAGACGAGUCAACACGGAGAAGCAGAUUGAGGAACAACAGAGGACCGCACCUCGGAGCCACGGGGAAGUUGAGACUUCGCGCCGCUAAGAAAGGACAAGAUCCUACCGCCCCAGCCCUGGUUCCUGAUUCGACCGUCGGCCCUGCCUCAACCCAACGAUCUCAAACUCUGCAACAGACUUGGAGAAAGGACAAAGGUCCCUGAAGGAUAAAGAGCUGGGUUUUCGAAGGAUUUGGACCCGUUCUGCUUUGAGUCUAUUCUAAGGAGGAUUUUUCCACACAAGGACAAAGACUCUGACCAAGGAUUCUGGAUGUUUCUGUUGCCAAGAUCCACCAUCAACUGGGUGUGAGUUGAAUCUGCUCCCUAAAAGUCCAUCUCAGAACUUGCGACAUAGGUUAGGGAAAAGAGACAGGAUAGUAUGGUUAUACAUGUUGAUUUUAUUAUACUGCUCUUGAAUUAUAUACAAUUGAUUAUUGAUUUGUAUGUCACAUAUCCCUGCUUAAGCUUGCUCAAUAAAUUUAUACUAUAAAAUUCU